Molecule: ribosomal RNA, 909 nt
Filed under: uncultured bacterium
Lineage: Bacteria
Description: bacterial SSU rRNA
Rfam family: Bacterial small subunit ribosomal RNA
Source: RNAcentral
UUAGAGUUUGAUCAUGGCUCAGGAUGAACGCUAGCGGGAGGCUUAACACAUGCAAGUCGAGGGGCAGCAUAAUGUAGCAAUACGUUGAUGGCGACCGGCAGACGGGUGAGUAACGCGUAUGCAACUUACCCUGUACAGAGGGAUAACCCGGAGAAAUUCGGACUAAUACCACAUGAAGAUAUAGAUGGGCAUCCAUUUAUAUUAAAAGCUACGGCGGUACAGGAUGGGCAUGCGUAACAUUAGCUAGUUGGCGGGGUAAAGGCCCACCAAGGCGACGAUGUUUAGGGGACCUGAGAGGGUGAACCCCCACACUGGUACUGAGACACGGACCAGACUCCUACGGGAGGCAGCAGUGAGGAAUAUUGGUCAAUGGGCGGAAGCCUGAACCAGCCAUUCCGCGUGCAGGAAGACGGCCCUAUGGGUUGUAAACUGCUUUUCCGGUGGAAGAAUAACUUCGACUAGUCGGGGGAUGACGGUACACCGGGAAUAAGCAUCGGCUAACUCCGUGCCAGCAGCCGCGGUAAUACGGAGGAUGCGAGCGUUAUCUGGAUUUAUUGGGUUUAAAGGGUGCGCAGGCGGGGCUGUAAGUCAGUGGUGAAAUACUGCAGCUUAACUGUAGAAUUGCCAUUGAUACUGCGGUUCUUGAGUGUGGUCAAGGCAGGCGGAAUGUGUAAUGUAGCGGUGAAAUGCUUAGAGAUUACACAGAACACUGAUUGCGAAGGCAGCUUGCUGGGCCAUUACUGACGCUCAUGCACGAAAGCGUGGGGAUCAAACAGGAUUAGAUACCCUGGUAGUCCACGCUGUAAACGAUGAUCACUAGCUGUUGGCGAUAUACAGUCAGGACAAAGCGAAAGCAUUAAGUGAUCUAUCUGGGGAGUACGGCCGCAAGGUUGAAACUCAAAGGAAUUG